GAGCUAUAUGGAUAUGGAUAUUACUGUUAAUAUUAUGGUAUUAGUAACAGUAUUACAUCUCGAUCUCAUCCCAAUUCCAAUCAUAGAGACUACCGACUCAAAAGAAAGAAAGAAAGACAUGAAAUCCCAACUGUGGCGCCUCUGCCUUUGUCUCAUGUUUGCCUUCUUCAUCAUAGUGUGUGCUGCUGCUGCUCACAAUUCUAUUUCUCUCUCAGUUGCAGAGAACCAGGGAGAGUCUGUAACUGCAAGUAUAGUUGGAGUUAACGAUUAUGGAGAAACAGGACCUAAUCCAAAGCAUGAUCCCUACACACCCACGCCCCCCAUCCCUAUCUGAAGCUGCCUUCCAACUCCCAUUCCAUGGUUGUUAUGGAUAGAUACCUAAGGCAAGCUCCUCCUCCACACUUGAGCUGAGCCUGCCCCAGCCUUGUCUCUCUUAUCACUGUUUAAGCUUUCCUUAUCUUGUUUCCAGUCACUGAUUGACUGACUUGUGCACUAUUUCUCAUUUUGCUAAUUCAAUCAGAAUGGAAACAUAAAUAUACCAAUUAAGCAUUCCAGGUGUUGCUCUUUUCAA
Ricinus communis (castor bean) is the source of this 571-nucleotide long non-coding RNA. RefSeq lists it as uncharacterized. NCBI's taxonomy places the organism in Eukaryota, Viridiplantae, Streptophyta, Magnoliopsida, Malpighiales, Euphorbiaceae. The transcript has 2 exons. The record is from RefSeq and is a predicted model, not a curated record.